AUUGAACGCUGGCGGCAUGCUUUACACAUGCAAGUCGAACGGCAGCGCGGGCUUCGGCCUGGCGGCGAGUGGCGAACGGGUGAGUAAUACAUCGGAACGUGCCCAGUAGUUUGGGAUAGCUCGGCGAAAGCCGGAUUAAUACCGCAUACGACCUGAGGGUGAAAGCGGGGGAUCUUCGGACCUCGCGCUAUUGGAGCGGCCGAUGGCAGAUUAGCUAGUUGGUGGGGUAAAGGCCUACCAAGGCGACGAUCUGUAGCUGGUCUGAGAGGACGACCAGCCACACUGGGACUGAGACACGGCCCAGACUCCUACGGGAGGCAGCAGUGGGGAAUUUUGGACAAUGGGCGAAAGCCUGAUCCAGCAAUGCCGCGUGUGUGAUGAAGGCCUUCGGGUUGUAAAGCACUUUUGGCGGGAACGAAAAGGACUGUGCCAAUACCACGGUUCGAUGACGGUACCCGAAGAAUAAGCACCGGCUAACUACGUG
Molecule: ribosomal RNA, 484 nt
Filed under: uncultured bacterium
Lineage: Bacteria
Description: partial 16S ribosomal RNA
Rfam family: Bacterial small subunit ribosomal RNA
Source: RNAcentral